CCUACGGGGGGCAGCAGUGGGGAAUAUUGCGCAAUGGGGGGAACCCUGACGCAGCCAUGCCGCGUGAAUGAAGAAGGCCUUCGGGUUGUAAAGUUCUUUCGGUAUUGAGGAAGGUUGAUGUGUUAAUAGUACAUCAAAUUGACGUUAAAUACAGAAGAAGCACCGGCUAACUCCGUGCCAGCAGCCGCGGUAAUACGGAGGGUGCGAGCGUUAAUCGGAAUAACUGGGCGUAAAGGGCACGCAGGCGGUUAUUUAAGUGAGGUGUGAAAGCCCCGGGCUUAACCUGGGAAUUGCAUUUCAGACUGGGUAACUAGAGUACUUUAGGGAGGGGUAGAAUUCCACGUGUAGCGGUGAAAUGCGUAGAGAUGUGGAGGAAUACCGAAGGCGAAGGCAGCCCCUUGGGAAUGUACUGACGCUCAUGUGCGAAAGCGUGGGGAGCAAACAGGAUUAGAUACCCGAGUAGUC
This 465-nucleotide ribosomal RNA is filed under the name uncultured Haemophilus sp. Its description in RNAcentral is "bacterial SSU rRNA". It matches the Rfam family "Bacterial small subunit ribosomal RNA", at positions 338 to 795 of the family's 1533-position model. The record is from RNAcentral. Lineage: Bacteria; Pseudomonadati; Pseudomonadota; Gammaproteobacteria; Pasteurellales; Pasteurellaceae.